This 204-nucleotide non-coding RNA is filed under the name Cyanobacteria bacterium UBA8156. Its description in RNAcentral is "6S RNA". It matches the Rfam family "6S / SsrS RNA". Rfam says of the family: E. coli 6S RNA was the first non coding RNA to be sequenced, but its function was unknown until recently. It consists of 184 nucleotides that fold into an extended hairpin structure with a large single-stranded internal bulge. The 6S RNA specifically associates with RNA polymerase holoenzyme containing the sigma70 specificity factor. The record is from RNAcentral. Lineage: Bacteria; Bacillati; Cyanobacteriota.
GCCCCUCGAUGGCGUGCGCGGCAUUACCAAUAAUGUUUCUCGAUCUAUGCUCGUUCGAUACGGGUAUUGCGACUGUGUUGACCGCCGUAGACCGACCCUGGUGAUCCAAAACACUCGGCAGUCGGAAACGAUACGUUGACCUUGCGUACCCACCUGGGGAACCAGGAUCGAAUAACUGCGGUACGACGGCGUUGUGGAGGGGUU